Molecule: ribosomal RNA, 1132 nt
Filed under: Bacillus altitudinis
Lineage: Bacteria; Bacillati; Bacillota; Bacilli; Caryophanales; Bacillaceae
Description: bacterial SSU rRNA
Rfam family: Bacterial small subunit ribosomal RNA
Source: RNAcentral
GGCUGUCACUUACAGAUGGACCCGCGGCGCAUUAGCUAGUUGGUGAGGUAACGGCUCACCAAGGCGACGAUGCGUAGCCGACCUGAGAGGGUGAUCGGCCACACUGGGACUGAGACACGGCCCAGACUCCUACGGGAGGCAGCAGUAGGGAAUCUUCCGCAAUGGACGAAAGUCUGACGGAGCAACGCCGCGUGAGUGAUGAAGGUUUUCGGAUCGUAAAGCUCUGUUGUUAGGGAAGAACAAGUGCAAGAGUAACUGCUUGCACCUUGACGGUACCUAACCAGAAAGCCACGGCUAACUACGUGCCAGCAGCCGCGGUAAUACGUAGGUGGCAAGCGUUGUCCGGAAUUAUUGGGCGUAAAGGGCUCGCAGGCGGUUUCUUAAGUCUGAUGUGAAAGCCCCCGGCUCAACCGGGGAGGGUCAUUGGAAACUGGGAAACUUGAGUGCAGAAGAGGAGAGUGGAAUUCCACGUGUAGCGGUGAAAUGCGUAGAGAUGUGGAGGAACACCAGUGGCGAAGGCGACUCUCUGGUCUGUAACUGACGCUGAGGAGCGAAAGCGUGGGGAGCGAACAGGAUUAGAUACCCUGGUAGUCCACGCCGUAAACGAUGAGUGCUAAGUGUUAGGGGGUUUCCGCCCCUUAGUGCUGCAGCUAACGCAUUAAGCACUCCGCCUGGGGAGUACGGUCGCAAGACUGAAACUCAAAGGAAUUGACGGGGGCCCGCACAAGCGGUGGAGCAUGUGGUUUAAUUCGAAGCAACGCGAAGAACCUUACCAGGUCUUGACAUCCUCUGACAACCCUAGAGAUAGGGCUUUCCCUUCGGGGACAGAGUGACAGGUGGUGCAUGGUUGUCGUCAGCUCGUGUCGUGAGAUGUUGGGUUAAGUCCCGCAACGAGCGCAACCCUUGAUCUUAGUUGCCAGCAUUCAGUUGGGCACUCUAAGGUGACUGCCGGUGACAAACCGGAGGAAGGUGGGGAUGACGUCAAAUCAUCAUGCCCCUUAUGACCUGGGCUACACACGUGCUACAAUGGACAGAACAAAGGGCUGCGAGACCGCAAGGUUUAGCCAAUCCCACAAAUCUGUUCUCAGUUCGGAUCGCAGUCUGCAACUCGACUGCGUGAAGCUGGAAUCGC